UACUGGAUAUGACCUUCUGGCGCAUGCCAUGUUGGUGGAAAGCUUUAUUGCGGUUUUGGAUGGACUCGCGGCCUAUCAGCUUGUUGGUGGGGUAAUGGCCUACCAAGGCGACGACGGGUAGCCGGCCUGAGAGGGUGGACGGCCACACUGGGACUGAGACACGGCCCAGACUCCUACGGGAGGCAGCAGUGGGGAAUAUUGCACAAUGGGCGCAAGCCUGAUGCAGCGACGCCGCGUGGGGGAUGAAGGCCUUCGGGUUGUAAACCUCUUUCAGUAGGGAAGAAGCGAAAGUGACGGUACCUGCAGAAGAAGCGCCGGCUAACUACGUGCCAGCAGCCGCGGUAAUACGUAGGGCGCAAGCGUUAUCCGGAAUUAUUGGGCGUAAAGAGCUCGUAGGCGGUUUGUCGCGUCUGCCGUGAAAGUCCGGGGCUUAACUCCGGAUCUGCGGUGGGUACGGGCAGACUAGAGUGAUGUAGGGGAGACUGGAAUUCCUGGUGUAGCGGUGAAAUGCGCAGAUAUCAGGAGGAACACCGAUGGCGAAGGCAGGUCUCUGGGCAUUAACUGACGCUGAGGAGCGAAAGCAUGGGGAGCGAACAGGAUUAGAUACCCUGGUAGUCCAUGCCGUAAACGUUGGGCACUAGGUGUGGGGGACAUUCCACGUUUUCC
Molecule: ribosomal RNA, 666 nt
Filed under: Arthrobacter sp. CAL 563
Lineage: Bacteria; Bacillati; Actinomycetota; Actinomycetes; Micrococcales; Micrococcaceae
Description: bacterial SSU rRNA
Rfam family: Bacterial small subunit ribosomal RNA
Source: RNAcentral